Molecule: ribosomal RNA, 447 nt
Filed under: uncultured bacterium
Lineage: Bacteria
Description: bacterial SSU rRNA
Rfam family: Bacterial small subunit ribosomal RNA
Source: RNAcentral
UGGGGAAUAUUGGACAAUGGGCGAAAGCCUGAUCCAGCGAUGCCGCGUGAGUGAAGAAGGCCUUAGGGUUGUAAAACUCUUUCACUGGUGACGAUGAUGACGGUAGCCAGAGAAGAAGCCCCGGCUAACUCCGUGCCAGCAGCCGCGGUAAUACGGAGGGGGCUAGCGUUGUUCGGAAUUACUGGGCGUAAAGCGCAUGUAGGCGGCGUAUCAAGUCGGGGGUGAAAGGCCUGGGCUCAACCCAGGAACUGCCUUCGAUACUGAUGUGCUGGAGUCCGGGAGAGGGUAGCGGAAUUCCCAGUGUAGAGGUGAAAUUCGUAGAUAUUGGGAAGAACACCGGUUGCGAAGGCGGCUACCUGGCCCGGUACUGACGCUGAGGUGCGAAAGCGUGGGGAGCAAACAGGAUUAGAUACCCUCGUAGUCCCUGAGCGGGCUGGCAAGGCGCAU